RNAcentral lists this ribosomal RNA (403 nucleotides) under uncultured bacterium. RNAcentral's name for it is "bacterial SSU rRNA". It matches the Rfam family "Bacterial small subunit ribosomal RNA", at positions 355 to 775 of the family's 1533-position model. The record is from RNAcentral.
UGGGGAAUAUUGGACAAUGGGCGCAAGCCUGAUCCAGCAAUGCCGCGUGGGUGAAGAAGGUCUUCGGAUUGUAAAGCCCUUUCGACAGGGACGAUGAUGACGGUACCUGUAGAAGAAGCCCCGGCUAACUUCGUGCCAGCAGCCGCGGUAAUACGAAGGGGGCUAGCGUUGCUCGGAAUUACUGGGCGUAAAGGGCGCGUAGGCGGCCAGAUUAGUCAGGCGUGAAAGCCCUGGGCUCAACCUGGGGACUGCGCUUGAGACGGUUUGGCUUGAGGACGGAAGAGGCUCGCGGAAUUCCCAGUGUAGAGGUGAAAUUCGUAGAUAUUGGGAAGAACACCGGUGGCGAAGGCGGCGAGCUGGUCCGUACCUGACGCUGAGGCGCGACAGCGUGGGGAGCAAACAG